UACCACGGACACGGCCUUUCCUUAUCUCAUCUUUUCCAGCAAUUGUUAUGGAAAGGCACCGAAACCCUAAGAGUACAAAUAAUAACUGCGAGUUCCUUUCGUGGUCAAUAAAACUGGGAAACGUGCCAUUGAUUUCAUCGUAUUUUAAGUACAAAAUCAUGUUCUUCUGUUUCUUUCUUUUUUUUCCUUGUCAUUUUGUAAGCAUUUGUAGUCUCUUUCAU
Molecule: long non-coding RNA, 221 nt
Filed under: Carica papaya (papaya)
Lineage: Eukaryota; Viridiplantae; Streptophyta; Magnoliopsida; Brassicales; Caricaceae
Description: long non-coding RNA (CPAP_LNC011582)
Source: RNAcentral